UACGUAGGGGGCAAGCGUUGUUCGGAAUUACUGGGCGUAAAGGGCGCGUAGGCGGCAUGGCAAGUCGGGAGUGAAAGCCCGGGGCUCAACCCCGGAGGGUCUCUCGAAACUGCCAAGCUAGAGUGCGGAAGAGGCAACUGGAACUCCCAGUGUAGCGGUGAAAUGCGUAGAUAUUGGGAAGAACACCGGAGGCGAAGGCGGGUUGCUGGGCCGACACUGACGCUGAGGCGCGAAAGCCAGGGGAGCAAACGGG
Molecule: ribosomal RNA, 253 nt
Filed under: uncultured bacterium
Lineage: Bacteria
Description: partial 16S ribosomal RNA
Rfam family: Bacterial small subunit ribosomal RNA
Source: RNAcentral